GUUUGAUCCUGGCUCAGAUUGAACGCUGGCGGCAUGCCUAACACAUGCAAGUCGAACGCGAAAGCGCCUUCGGGUGUGAGUAGAGUGGCGGACGGGUGAGUAACGCGUGGGAAUCUGCCCUGCAGUGGGGGACAACCCGAGGAAACUCGGGCUAAUACCGCAUACGUCCUAUGGGAGAAAGGGGGCCUUCGGGCUCUCGCUGCAGGAUGAGCCCGCGUCCGAUUAGCUUGUUGGUGGGGUAACGGCCCACCAAGGCUGCGAUCGGUAGCUGGUCUGAGAGGAUGAUCAGCCACACUGGGACUGAGACACGGCCCAGACUCCUACGGGAGGCAGCAGUGGGGAAUAUUGGACAAUGGGCGAAAGCCUGAUCCAGCAAUGCCGCGUGUGUGAAGAAGGCCUGCGGGUUGUAAAGCACUUUCAGUGGGGAAGAAAAGCGCGAGGUUAAUACCCUUGUGUGUUGACGUUACCCACAGAAGAAGCACCGGCUAACUCCGUGCCAGCAGCCGCGGUAAUACGGAGGGUGCAAGCGUUAAUCGGAAUCACUGGGCGUAAAGCGCACGUAGGCGGCUAGGUCAGUCAGAUGUGAAAGCCCCGGGCUCAACCUGGGAACUGCAUUUGAUACUGCCUGGCUUGAGUAUGGUAGAGGGAGGUGGAAUUCCAGGUGUAGCGGUGAAAUGGGUAGAUAUCUGGAAGAACACCGGUGGCGAAGGCGACUUUCUGGACUGAUACUGACGCUGAGGCACGAAAGCUAGGGGAGCGAACAGGAUUAGAUACCCUGGUAGUCCUAGCCGUAAACGGUGUGCACUAGGUGUGGGGGGAAUUGACCCCUUCCGUGCCGUAGCUAACGCGUUAAGUGCACCGCCUGGGGAGUACUGUCGCAAGGCAGAAACUCAAAGAAAUUGACGGGGACCCGCACAAGCGGAGGAGCAUGUGGCUUAAUUCGAUGCAACGCGAAGAACCUUACCAGGGCUUGACAUCUAGCUGCACGCCCCCCGAAAGGGGGGAAGCCUUUGAGGGUGCUAGACAGGUGCUGCAUGGCUGUCGUCAGUUCGUGCCGUGAGGUGUUGGGUUAAGUCUCGCAACGAACGCAACCCCUGUGCUUAGUUGCCCCUCACCGCUUCGGCGGUGAAGCACUCUAAGCAGACUGCCUGUCACAACAGGAGGAAGGUGGGGAUGACGUCAAGUCAGCAUGGCCCUUACGUCCUGGGCUGCACACGUGCUACAAUGGUCGGUACAGUGGGAUGCAAUGCCGCGAGGUGGAGCCAAUCCCCAAAACCGGCCCCAGUUCGGAUUGGAGUCUGCAACUCGACUCCAUGAAGUCGGAUUCGCUAGUAAUGCCGUAUCAGCUACGACGGCGUGAAUACGUUCCCGGGUCUUGUACACACCGCCCGUCACAUCACGAAAGCCGUCUGCACCCGAAG
This 1421-nucleotide ribosomal RNA is filed under the name metagenome. RNAcentral describes it as "bacterial SSU rRNA". It matches the Rfam family "Bacterial small subunit ribosomal RNA". The record is from RNAcentral.